Molecule: long non-coding RNA, 12092 nt
Filed under: Prunus persica (peach)
Lineage: Eukaryota; Viridiplantae; Streptophyta; Magnoliopsida; Rosales; Rosaceae
Description: long non-coding RNA (PPER_LNC006764)
Source: RNAcentral
UUUGCAGUACCCUAAAAACCACUCACCAGAAUGGGAGGUUGUAAUCUUAGUUUCAUACAAGACAUUAGCUUCCACAUGUAAAUAAAACAUAACAGAUCAGUUUUAUUCAUUACUAUUAACACCCUUUAUUCACACAACAUAUAAAAAAACAUAGAUUGCAAAGUAUGGACCAUGGAGAGCUGAAAUGCACUACCACAGAGGUUAUAUGCUGCAUCAGUAGCCGCCAGUGCCGCAUCUGUGGGCUUCUCAGCAAGAGUGAGACUUUCACCUUCAGCUUCUUUUAUCUGCCUCAUGAUGUCUAACUUUGUUUCAGAUUAGUUUUAUUCAUUACUGUUAACACCCUUUAUUCACACAACAUAUAAAUAAAACAUAGAUUGCAAUGUAUGGACCAUGGACAGCUGAAAUGCACUACCACAGAGGUUUUAUGCUGCAUCAGUAGCCACCAGUGCCGCAUCUGUGGGCUUCUCAGCAAGAGCGAGACUUUCACCUUCAGCUUCUUUUAUCUGCCUCAUGAUGUCUAACUUUGUUUCACGAAGGGCUUCUAUUUUGCCAUUAAUCUUCUCUAGCUUCUGUUUCAACUUUCCAACAUCCUUGGACUUGUCCUUCUUAUCAACUUUUCUUUUUUUCUCGCCCUUGUCCUUUUUAUCUUUGUCUUUCUUCUCUUUACCUUCCUUUACUUCAUCUUUCUGGCUCUGUUCCUCCAUUUCAUCCUCUGAUUCCUUGACAUGUUCUAUUUCAAUCUCCCUAGAAGUAACUUCAACCUUGGUCUUUUCCUCAUCCUCUACAUUAUUGUGUUUCUCCUUUCUCUCCUUCUUGUCUAUUUUCUCUUCUUUUUUCUCGUCCUUCUUCUUCUCGUUCCCAUCAUCAUCACCCUUGUGUUUCUUCUUUUUAUCAUCUUUGUCUUUAUUCUUCUUCCCUUCUUUUUUGCUGUCAUUGUCUUUUUCCUCAUCCUUUUUCUUCUCCUUCUCAUCAUCAUCACCCUUGUGUUCCUUUUUUUUCUCCUCCACAUCUUUCUGCUUCUUCCCUUCUUUUUUGUUGUCAUCGUCUUUUUCCUCAUCCAUUUUCUUCUCCUUCUCAUCAUCAUCACCCUUGUGUUUCUUCCUUUUCUCCUCCACAUCUUUCUUCUUCUUCCCUUCUUUUUUAAUGUCAUCAACCUUUUCCUCAUCAUUUUUCUUCUCUGUUCCAUCAUCAUCAUUCUCAUGUUCCUUCCCUUUCUUCUCUUUCUUCUUCUUCUUCUUCUUAUUCUCUUCUUUUUCCUCAUCCACAUUAUCCGCAUCCUCCUCUUUUUUAUCUGUGUCCUUCCUUUUCUCUUCAUCUUCUUUCACCUUGACCUGAUCCUUCUUUUCCUUCUUCGACUCUUUUUCAUCCAUAUCUUUCUCUUUGUGUUUAUAAUCAUCCUUGCCUUCAAUCUCUUCUUCCCCUUCAUCUAAAUCUUUACCCUUUUCCUUCUUCUCUUUUUUAUUUUUCUUCUUUUUAUCUUUUUCCUCCCCCUCUCUAUCAUCUUCUUUAUCUUCUGAGCCUAUAAUAUCUUUGUUCUUCUCCUUUUUCUUCUUCUUCUCUUCCUUGUCCUUCUUUUUAUCCCCGUUGCUCUGUUUCUCUUCCUCGUCCUUCUCUUUGCCACUCUUGUUUUUUUUCUUCUUUUCCUUCUUGGUUAUGUCUUUCUCCUUCUUCUUUGAUUUCUCCUCAUCUUUAUCAAUAUGUUUCUCCUCAUCCUUUUUAUGUUUUGGCUUCUCUUUUACCACUGACUUGGUCUUUAAUUCAAGUUCCACCUCAGCCUUCUCCUUCUUUAAUUCACCUGGUUGUGCAUCCUUGGUCUUGACCACUACAUGGGAUUCUUCCUUUUCAACCCUUUCUUCCCCUGGAUGUUCAAUUUUGUCUUCCAUCUCCAGAUUAUAUCCUAAAAUUUUAAAUGUAAAACUGUUUCCUCUGGACCUGAGAUUACCCGAAACAAAUGUAAAUGUAAGACGAGUAAUCUGAGAACAAAUGCAGUAGAAUAUGAAAAUCCUAAUACUUGGUGAAUUAUAAAAUCUCAUAAUUAACAAGAACAAGAAAAGCCAUUGUGUUUGCCUAAAUAAGAAUAAAUUGUUUACGUUUAGAGCUCUGUAGUCAGCACAUCACAGCCAAUGCUUAAACAAUUGGAAGAUUACAAAUAUUUCAUCUACAUGUUUUACUAUAAAAAUGCAAGCUAAUGAAACUUAUAUUCCUUUCUUCAAUCCUCAUGAAAAAUCGACCCAAAGAGUCUGCUGGCGAAGUGGAUACGGUUGAACAACGCCGUCAGGGCGGCCCCAUUGAUCGGCCCGAUGCCGCAGAUGCCGGUCCAUGUACUAAUUAAAAUAAAUAUUUAAGCUUCAAAAUAUGCAGUUUUGACUGAUCACUGCUAGAAAGUUAUAUCAAAUGUCUCGUCUUUUUCGUAUAUAGUUCCUAGAAUAUUACUAGAGUAGAGACUGACUAUCAAUUUUGGUGUGCAAAACUGACAACUUGAAAAGGUAUGGAGGAUGGAUCUCAAGCAAUGAAAAAUUUCAAAGAUGUGAAAUUCAAUAGGACUGCAAGAUUGGAUUAUAGACCAUAGACCUCAUUACAUUCUGCUUUGUUGCACACACUAGUUCCUGAAAGCAAAAGUAAGGCUCUCCCCAGACAAAAGGGGAUUCUUUCAUCUACUAUGAUAUGAUUGGUUCUGAGGAAAAACUAUCACUCUAUCCAAGUUUGCUACAAACAGGAAUUUUGAGGCUUGUCUAGUCUACAAAAUAUCUUAGCAAAAGCAUUAGAAUCCCGUGGAAAGCCGUGUUCGAUGACAGUCGUAUGUAUGGGUUGGAGAGAUUAAUUUCAGCUGAUUCUGUUAUAGCCUAUAAUCUUUAAACAUUAGGGGGUUUCUUCCAAAUUGACUUUUAUUUUUGAUUUUCAACACAAAACACAUUUUGGUCCUUCACUGCUAUAUAUUUUUUUCUAAACAACGGUUUGAGUACAGAAUACGUACAGUAUUUGAUAACUUUUUCUCUACAUUCCCAAUACACAAAGUAAGUAAAUAAUUUGAUAAAAUCAAACUGAACUGAUAAAAGAAAGAAGAAAAAAAAGAAGCCAUUUACAGAUUCAAGAGAGAGACAGUGAGAGUGCACUUGAAUAGUAAGGAAUUAAGGAUCUGUCCUCAACUAUCUAAUUGCGUGCUUAAAUUGUGAAACCAGUAAGUAAACAAACCAAGAUGAACACAUCAAGUAAAAGCAACAACGACAAAACUUCAUUUCUCAUUCACAAUUCCAAAGACAAAGUAGCAGCAGCUAUAGACAUAUAGUGAUUUGCAAGAAAAAUUGGCAACAACUCCAAUUCUGUGUGUACCUUAAUUUGUGUUUCCCCAAAGGAAAAGAAGAAACCGAUACAGAUUGCUGUGUUGUGUUUGUAAGUAACAGUGAGAGAGAGAGAGAGAGAGAGAGAGAGAGAGCGAGAGAGCCUGUGGUUUUGCAGGUUAGCUUAGAGUGUGAAGAGUGGUGUGGCUAUUUGUUUUGUAUAUAUAUCCUAUUAGGAAUGAAGGCUGUUUGGGCAUUGAUUACUUCACAGAUAGCCACCUGUCAGUCUUUUCGUCAACACGGAAAGGACCGAAAUUUUACACGGACGGACCUUAAACCUUUGCGUACGUAUCCAUGGUUGUCUUUAACUCCCUCCUUCCUACGUCGGUUCUUUCUUCUCCAACACUUGCGACACCUGCGACUUGACAAAUAUCACACUUCUGACGCGGUUUAUUGGAAGUUUUAUUUCAUUAUUUACUGUCGUCCCCUUGAAACUGAGUGAUCCAUUUUACUCUCCUACCCGACCAACCAUUUUUUUACCUACUCUUAACUUCAUCCAGAAAUAUAUUAAUUUUGAUGAUGUGACAUGAAUAUUUUGAUAAAUUUGCACAAUUGAACCAAUUACUUGUCAAAUUCAGUGACUUAUCUAGCAAACUAGAGCCUACGUGUUGAAUGUAGCUUUUGCUUGCGUAAUUUUGCCCCAAAUUGGGGAGAUGAUGAUGAAAUUGGCCCUACUUGUGAGUGGUUAUAGUGUAAUACGGUAGUACGGUCAUGUUGUAUAACUUGUGUUGUGCUUUUUCACUGUGAAAUUCAAAGUUAACCACACCAUAAUAUAAACCACACUUGGAUAGAAUAAUAUAAACAAGAAAUAAAAAUAUUGUACAAGAGAUUGACAAGGUUUGGCAAAAUAAUGCCUACAUGCCCGAAUAGAGUACUUCACUAUGAGAAUACUAACAGUAUAAGAUACACUUGAGUUAAAUCAACAUAACCCAAACCCAAAACCCUUGUACACCCACUUACAAUGUUUACCAAGAACUCUAUCUCUCACCCACAUAUUUCUCCCUGUUUUUCACUCUCUCUGCGCUCUCUAACUUUCUCACGGAAUGCAACCAACACAAAACAAGCUACACUUCUAUUUAUAUAGAAGCCUUGAGUGGGCACCAAGCUAGGGGGAAGCGUCUGCAACAAGCUUCCUUCAAUAUGAAGACUUUACCUCCUCACAACUUUUACCAAAGCCAUCAUUGCAUGAAACUACCACUUGAUGCACUGCCUAUUAGCUACACCAAAAGUCAAAGAUUGCUACACUAUAUUUACCUUGUAGCUUAUCCCACACUUUUAACUUGUGGGUCCAAUUAUCAUAAUAUUUACACCAAUUUUAACAAUCUCCACCUUGGUGAAAAUGCCAUGCAAAACUCGGAGCAUCACUAAGAAUAAUUAAACCAUUGGCCUUCACAAAACACACCAGCUACACAUCACAUAAAUCAACAAAUUUGGCCCAAUCCCGAUUCAUGUUACACGACUAUUGAUGCUCAAAAUGGCUCGGCCAAUGUUGAGUCCAACUUAGUGAUGAGGUGUGUGGAGUCUUCAGUAGAGAAGAAGGCUAAGGCCUUUGAUAAGGGGGGAACCUGCAGAAGACAAAAUGGGAGAAGCAAUCGUUAAGCUUUGGACACCGGUGUGGUGCCGGCCAAAGGCUCUCCUAUGCUUAAGCCAGCUAUAAGUGGUAAUUUUGGCAAAGUAACAAUAAAGGUGAGAAAGUAGAUACCCUUUUUACUUGGGUACUGUUCCCUAUUUAUAAGGAGGUGAAAGUGGGAGGUUUGCACAAAGUUUCAAUGUGGGACUUUGUGCAAGUCGUCGUGGUGGCGACACGUGUCCUAGGGAUUAGGUUUGGCAAUUAGGAGCUUCGGCAGGUGUCUGGCACAUCGGAAGUGUGUCUUCCUUUGGCAAGGAAGAAGGCGUGGCUGUCUUGGUGCUAGUCGCUUUGAGGCUGAGUAUGCUCGAUUGAUUAUGGUGUAAACAGUAGUCCCCCAAGUUUGAGGUCAAGAAGUAACUUCUGGGUUGGGAACUUGUGAGUUUUCGUGACCGAGCAUUCCAGCUUUAGUGGGAGCCGUAAGGCAUUCCCUAAUCCCCCAAGUUGACAAGCUAGAAGUUGCGGCAACACUUGGUAGCUGUGUGAGCUUCUAGGACUAUUUGGUAGCUGGGUACCCAAGUUUUUGGCAAGGAAGCUGGGUCUGGGGCCUUGAAUGAUGAGCCCUUAUUCUUCUUGCAAUGCCUACUGUUCGGCAGGCUUCCUUCUUCUUAUUUUUUUAUUUUUUUUAUUUUUUUAUUAUUUAAGUCUUGGGCCUUGGAAAUUGAGUGCAUCAGCAAGGGAGUGGCUCGUGGGCCUCCAGGUGUUAGAGCGGGUUGUGACCAUGUCUUGACUUUGGGAGGAAAGGGGGUGGGCCUUUUUUGUUUCGGCAGCGUAGCUGGGCCACUUUUGGGCCUAGGCAGGGCCUUAGGGUCUAGAAUUUAGAGAGGCAUUCAGCACCAUGGGCCUAUGGAUUAAUUCGAAAGGACCUGGGGUCUUUUUUCUUAGAGUGGGCUGAGCCACGGAGAUAUUUGUUGGGGCUAGGGUUAAGAUUUGUGAGAGGGGUGUAAAUAAGUUUCUAUAGCUCUUGCCGUUCGGCAAGAAAUAGCUGGGACCUUUUUGUAGCUGGGUCUGGCAGUAUCCCUUCGGCAAGGACCUUCUUUCGGCAAUUGGAGCUCUUCUUUCCUUCGGCAAGGGUGUUGGGUUCCAAGGCAAGGUUAAGCUGGGUUUUGGGGGUUCUUGCCGAUCGGCAAGGUUGUUUUCGAAGGAGUUGGUCCUUCAGCAGUCGGGCACUUCAUUGAAGUUUCGGUAGGAGGGUGAAGCCGGGCUGCAUGGGUAUUUCGGUAAGAAUUGGUUUUGCUACAGCAGCUUUUGUGGGCGCGCAUUGGAUAGUUUGGCAGCAGUCCCUGCCAAACGGCAGGGUUGGCAUGAGUUUUGUUGAAAGGUUCGUGAGCUAAAGAGGGUGAACUAUUCGUGUGGCUACGAUUCCAGCAUAGCUUCGGCAAGGUAACAUUCUUGCGUCCCUGUUUUUUGUUCGUUCUCGGACCUUGCCGUUCGGUAAGCUUGACUUUGAGCCUUGAUUAUUGCUUUCCAAGCUUCAGCAAGACAGUGGGGUCGGCAAGGGUGUCCAGAGUAAAUUUAAAUUGUUUGUGUUUAAAGGGUGGGGCUGGGCAUAAGUUGGAGUCGGGCCCUUUGUGGUGGCACGGAUUUGAACUGGGUCACCAUAGCUUCGGUAGCAACUGGGCUAUAUGACCCGGGUCUAUUAAGGUACGCAUUUUUUCGCAGCUCCUCCUUUUGGUUUGUUCAUCCCUUGCCGUUCGGCAAUGGGGGGUUGAGAGAUUUAUUUUGCUGUUUUUUAUGUUUAGCAAUUUGUGAAAUCGAAAAAAUUUGGUGUCGGCAGAAGUGCUUGGCUAGGCUACACGAACCGAGCGAGGUGCUGAAGUGUGAGAAGGGACUUGAGGACUUAGAGCUGGGUCUUGUGAAGGUAAAAUAUAUAUAUAUAUUUUUUUUGGCAGAGCUGGGCUCGUGGGUUAGAGCUGGGGUCUUUGAUUUGUGAGCUGUGGUAAGCUUGGGCCUGCCAGGUUGUGCUGGGGUGAGCUUGGUCCUUCAUGCUAGUUCCUCACUUGUUAUAAAGAACCUAAAUUGCUUUGAUGGUUGUUUGACUUUGCAGCAGGGGAUGUAGACUUGCUGUGAAUUUCGUGGGUUUCUAAAUAAUUCUGCACGGCCCUUGCCAUUUGGCAAGGCAUAAGGAAUUUGCUGAGUCUUGACUCGGCGAGAGUGCUUUUGUCGUAGCUUCACCGUUGUAUCUGGGAGCUAGGCCCUUGGAUUUAUGUCAAGAACUUUGGCAAGAUAGGCCCAAGAGGUAUUGGAGCUAGGCCAUUGGCGUGUUGGUGGUGCCUAAUCCCUUAACAAGAGCAAGACCACCCUUACGUACGUGUCUUCGGGUGUUUUAGUGUAGGUGAGUUUGGAGCUGGGCCUCUUCGGUCGCCACUUGGUAGCUGGGCCUUGAUUUCGGUAAAGGUAAGAAUUUUAUGACCUCCCAAAAUAAGUUUUCAUGGGACUUGCCCAUUUCGAAAUGGUGGUAACUUUGGUUUUUGUAGGCUUGAAGGGCUUGGUUUCGGAGCUUGGUUUGAGCUUGUAACUUCUUUCAAGAGGCUAGGCCUCUCGAUUUUUGUUUUUUGAACCUUGGUGGGCGUUUAGCUGGGUCCCGAAGGUUUAGGCAAUAGCCGGGGUGUCUUGGGGCUUCGGCAAGACAAGGAAGAAAUCGGAGCUGAGCCUUUAGAGCUAGGCCUGCGUCAGAGCUGGGUCAUUAGACUCUUGGCAAGAGCUGGGCUUCUUAAAGCUAGGGCACGGAUUUUGUUGCUUUACUUUUAGAAAAAAGGUGAAUGGUAAGCCCUCCCGUUUUACUUCCACGGGUCUUGCCUUUCGGCAAGGUCCCUUUGAAAUCUCUUCGCUGCUUUUUUUUGUUUAAAAUAUGAAUUUCAAAUUAUGUGUAGGUACAAGAAAUUUGAGGGGAAGUGAGGGGGUGCUAGGGUUUUCUCAUGAACCGAGGCGUGGGUACCCUUGGUUCGUUAUAAAUAGGAACUUGGGGUGGCUAAGGCACUACACCUGAGUUUUGGAGAAAAAGUGCUAGAAAGUGAGAAGGAGAAGAAGAUUUCCGCCGAGGUUUGGUGGUGGUGCUUGUGGCCAAGGUGAUUUCCGGCGAUUCUUUCGUGGUGGUGCAAACAAGGUUAGGCCCUGUUUCUUUGAAAAUUUUGAAUUGAAAUGUCUUUCUUUGUAUGAACAUGUUGAAGGCUAGGAAGAACACCUUGAAUAUGAGCAUGAACAUGAUGAACACGUUGAACAUUGAGAUGAACAUGUUGAGUGCCUGUUUGUAAACCAAAAGACAUGUAGAUUAUCCAUCUUUUUAUGUUGUUGUGUUUCAAUCCUCCUUGCAUGUGCAUUAGUUCCUUUUUCUUAUUUUUGCAUAUUGUAGAUGUCUGAAAAUUCUGAUAGAGAAAGUCAUGAACCCCCUGCUUUUGGUGGGGAUGAUACUAAGAGUGAAGAGCCCAUCCAAUAUAUUUGUUAUGAAGAGGAGAGUUUAGAGACAGAGGGUGUGGUAGAAGGUAUUAUAGAAAGUAGGGUGGUAGGGCAUGAGGGUGAGGGGGGUGAGCCAUCAGUAGACUCCGGGUCAGCUGCAUAUAGGGAGAUGUAGAGGAACUAUAUAGAGUUAGAGGCUAUAGCGAACCGAGUUCUAGCCUUGCCUCAUACGCUAGAGGUGGGUUCGAGCAACCAGGCAUCACCAUCGGGGUCCGUGAGUAUAGCCGUGGCCUCAGUUUCAGAGGGAGUGGACAUUCGGGUUGGUGUCCUUUUGGUGAGGCGGAACACCCUUACAGAAGCAAAGUUGGCCCAGCUUCGGACAAACUAUUGUGUUCCACCCUAUGUGGGCUUGAGGUUACCCACUGCAGCUGAUGUGAUUAGAUAUCCUUCGAAUGGCUCUGUGAUGAUUUUUACGGAUAUGUACUGGCAUGGCUUCAGACUACCAUUUCAUCCAUGGGUGCAGAUGACGUUGGCUAAGUUGGGAUAUGCGCCGGGGCAGUAUAAUCCCAACAUUUGGAUUCUUCUUUAUGGAGUUUACAUCGCUUGGUGGCUGGGUGGGUUGAGGGAGCCAACAUUUGAGCAGUUCAUGUACUUGUACUCGGUUUCGAAACAACAGGGAAGUUUUGGCUGGGCACAGGCCAAUUGCCGAAAGGCGAUGGGUUAUUUUAUUAGUCGCAAGCCAUCUACGCAAAAGUCUUGGAGGAACAAGUGGUGCAUGGUUCAUGGUGACUAGGAGUGUCCGCCAGGGAAGACCUUUACCCAACACAUUCCUACCCACUUCCAGUCUAUAGGUCCUUGGCCCCAUCCCUUAAGACUGUUUGGUGUUUGAUUUUCUUUUUCCUGUUCUCACUCUUGGUUCUUUAUUUUUACGUGUGCAAGUGUAAAUGACUAAGUAGUAUCUAACCUUUGGUGUAGAUUUGGUGAAGUGGGGGCCUAUCUCCAAGGAGCAAGAAGACUAUGUUGAGAGGGUGAGGUCACAGUUAUCAGAGACCGAGAGUGAGUGCCAAAACCUAGUCACCCAAAAAAAUUUGUUGGAGUCUAGACUUCUGCAAGGAAGUAAGUACCUGGGUCACUUUUGUUGUUUGUCUUCUGAUUCCCUUGUGGUUGCGACUAACAUAGUUUUGUUAUUUUUGAUGUGCAGUGGCGGGUAUUAUAAAAGGGAGCACGAAGGUGGUAGUAGAUAUUGAUGAUGCCGAGAUACAGAAGCGGCUAAGGGAGUCUCAGGCCAAGAAGGCGGAGCAGGGGACUGGGAAGCACCCUAGAGAUAAUGAUGAGUGCCGGGUUGUUGACAUGUUGGGAAAGAGGAAGGCCUUGGAGGAAGCUUAUCAGCAUGUGAUGGGGGCGGGACCGAGACUUCCUCCCUUUGAUCUGCAGGCGCCGCCGAAGCUCCCCUUUGGCAUGGAGGACAUUUUUGCUGAAGGGGUGGAGAAUGUGGACUUCGGCAAACUACGUUAGUAGAAGGAGGUGAACUUAGCCAUGCAUCGGCAGGAGGUGCCCCUGGUGAACGUCUUCCUAGAAGGCAUGAAGAGUGACCCCAAGGCCCUGGCGAGGACCCCGGCCUCUUCCUAUAUAAAUCGGGCCUAGAAGACGAUCCUCACUUCUGCCUAUGUAAGUUGUGACUUUGUUUGUGAAUUUUUUUGUAUCAUUCUUGUUUGGUCUGACUGAUGUUGUUUUGUUUUGCAGGCCUUUGCGAGAUGUAUGUCAGCAUGGCCAAGGUAGAUAAAGAGAUCCAGAGGCUGAAGAGGCGUGAUGAGAUGGCUAAGAGCAAAAUGGCGGAGGUGCAGGAGGCCAUCCGGGAGAAAAACACCCUGCUGUUGCAAAAGGCGGCCCUAGCCAAGGAGGUGGAGGAGCUAAAGCGGUCGAAGGCCGAGGAGGUAGCUGCUGCCCGAGUCAAAGCGAUCGAGUCGUUCCGAACUUUAGAAGAGCUGAAGAGUUAGAUCAUGGACCAACUAGUGGAUGAGCAGCUUCACUUAAAGGAUAGGCUGGUUAGGUUCAACCCCUCGGUUGAGAUUAACUUUGAUACGAGUGGCGAGCCUCCUGCACCUAGUCCCACUACGGAUGCUACUGCUCUGACGCCAGAGGUAGAGCCAGCCACUGGGGAUGCCUCCUCUACUGAGUCUUGAAGGCGUUGCCUUCUUUAUGUAUUCUAGCUACCAUGUUGGAACACUUGAUGUUUAUUUUUGCUUUGUAUGAACAUGUUGCCUUGUGUGAAGCAAGGUUAUUUUGAUUUCCUAUGAUAUGAGACUUGUUGUCAUAUGGUAUCAGUUGUGCUAGCAAAAUGAUAAUUAUGUGAGUCAUAGGAAUUAGCCAGAGUCAGGCGUUUCAUUCAAAUAAGUGCCGAAAGGCAGAUGGUACAAGAGUUGGUUGAGUCAAGGCUCAAGACCGAAGUAUAAGAGAACAUAUUGUCCUAGGGUCUAGGUAUGUUUACUUAUAGUAGUACUUGAGGUGAUUAGCGUUCCAAGGAUGAGGCAACGUCUUGCCCUUGGGAUUACGAAGCUAAUAAGUGCCGGGAUGACAGAUUUUGAUAAUCUCAUAAGGACCUUCCCAUGUGGGGCCUAAGGUACCUUCAGUAGGAUUUUUGGUGGCCAAGGAAACCUUGCGCAUGACCCAGUCCCCCAUUUUGAAAGCACGGGGCUUGACUCGGGAGUCGUAGUAUUUGGCGAUGCGCUGUUUGUAUGCGACAUUGCACAUGUUGGAUUGGUUACGGAGCUCUUCAAUGAAGUCGAGGUUUAGGGCUAACUGCUCGUCAUUGGCCUUGGCAUCAUAAGUGGAGGUUCGGUAUGUGGGCUAGCCAAUCUCCACUAGUGCCACGGCUUCGGUACCAAAUGAAAGAGAGAACGGUGUUUCUCCUGUGGAGGUACAGAAGGUGGUGCGGUAGGACCAGAGAAUCUCUAGAAGUAGCUCUGGCCAGCAGCCUUUGGCUUUGUCAAGUUUGGUCUUUAGGGUCUUCUUGAUAAUUUUGUUCACGGCUUCGACCUGGCCAUUGGACUAAGGAUGGGCUGGUGAUAAGUCCAUAAAUAUACUCAUUUAUGUACUCUUUUUACUUUGGUUUUGUAAGAGAAUUAGAUUUAAAAAGGGCUUAUUACUUUAUUUUUCUGAUUUUCAGCUUUUCUGCGCUCUUAGAAGGUUUUUAAGGGAAAAUCAACUUUUCGGAGGAAUUUUAGCGCAAGACCAAUUGGAGAUGAAAGCUAACAUCUUGAAGUUCAAUCUAUGAUUUUUCUAGAAUUUUCUACCAAGCCAAUUGGUACAGUAUUGCAAGUAAAGUUAGCCCACGUGCAGACAGGACAGUUUCGUACAUGUUACGUGAAUGUGAAGAAACGGAAGCCUUUCCGAAUUUUUCAAGUUACGUGCUAUAUAUGGUUGGAAAGAUAAGACAUUUAUCUUUCUAAAAUAUAUUUUUAAUAAUUUUUCUACAAGGUCGAAGAUCCCCAAAUCGUGUGAACAUUGGGCUGAGCUGUAUUUCCCAGUGGAGUUAGGAAUUGUGAUUUUUACUUUCCUAUUUGGAUUCCUUGUUUACCAAGACUUCUUGGACGACUUUUCAGUCAAUUUUAGGGUUUAGAACUCUGAUAUAAGUGAUAUAAAAGAUGAGCCAAGGCCUGAAGAAAAGCAUUCACGUCCUAAAGAGAUCAACGGCGCAAGAGGAGAAAGCUGCGAACGAGUUCUUUCUUUUC